GAUGAAGAACGCAGCGAAAUGCGAUAAGUAAUGUGAAUUGCAGAAUUCAGUGAAUCAUCGAAUCUUUGAACGCACAUUGCGCCCGCUAGUAUUCUGGCGGGCAUGCCUGUCCGAGCGUCAUUUCAACCCUCAAGCCCCCGGGCUUGGUGUUGGGGAUCGGCGAGCCUCCGCGCCCGCCGUCCCCUAAAUCUAGUGGCGGUCUCGCUGUAGCUUCCUCUGCGUAGUAGCACACCUCGCACUGGGAAACAGCGCGGCCACGCCGUUAAACCCCCAACUUCUGAACGUUUGACCUCGGAUCAGGUAGGAAUACCCGCUGAACUUAAGCAUAUCAAUAAUCGGAGGA
RNAcentral lists this unclassified non-coding RNA (343 nucleotides) under soil metagenome. RNAcentral's name for it is "partial contains 5.8S ribosomal RNA, internal transcribed spacer 2, and large subunit ribosomal RNA". The stretch from base 1 to 120 matches the Rfam family "5.8S ribosomal RNA", at positions 35 to 154 of the family's 154-position model. The record is from RNAcentral.